AAUGCUUCUGGAACAUGGCCAUACAGCCCGGAAAACUCACAACAUACUAGUGAUUACGACCAUGAAAGCCUUCAACAACAGUCUGAAGCGAGUUUCAAACUGAAUUAAAUGGGCAGUGUAGAUGGGCCUCCAGCAAAGGAAGCCACAGCUCCCUGGCUUCUGCAAGGAGUGAGCAGCUGUGUGGAAAAGGUGGGCCACUUUUGUUUCCCUGCUCUCAUUGAUGGACUCCAUUGAUGCAUUCAGGUGUACCAGAAGUGACGUUGCAGCACUCCCAGGCAGCAUUUCAGCCCAUUCUCAUUGUUUUUCAGUGUGUGGCUGAUUCUGAGGAAACUAAAGUAAACUUAUGUACUUGUGGGAAUAUGGAUGUGCAUUUGGGGGCAGAAAACUAGUUGAAAGUUAGCCCAAAAUAGGCACAGGGGCAAUAGGAAGUCUUCAUAGGGAAUUUGUGAUGACACAAAAGUAUGGCUUGGGGCUGCCACAUUUUCUUCACUAUUCCCUUAUCUCUAAUCUACCGUUUCACUUUUUAAAAUACAUAUAUUCUGUCAAAAUUAAAUACCAAAUCACCAGUUACAUGUCAAAGUAGCAACAUUUCUAUUCUGUUAUAAAUAUAACACAAAACAAAUUGGCCCCUUUGCUCAGAUAAAUGUGUUGACCUCUGAGCUCUGAAGAAACAUUACUCUGUGGGAGAAAUCUGGGAAAAGUACUUUGGGUUAUAAUGGAAAUAAGUCAAGUAUGUGAGCAAUAUUGACCACCAAAUCUUAUAUUUGACACCUCUAACCUUAACUAUGAUAAUCAUACAUCCCUCAGUAAAUUCUCUGAAUAACUGUCAUGUCAGGAAAAAAUAUGUCUUUCCUUCUCUCUUAUUAAGAAGAGACUUCAAGUUAUCACACAACUGUCAUAAUGUCACUAGAAGCUGCUCAGUGUCACCUUUGUCAUUGAUUAGGCAGAGAGAGACGACUGUGCUAAGGAGCAGAUUUUGGGUGCCACAUAAGAGAAGCAACUUGUUACUUCUUUAAAAUUAUAUCUGUAUCACCACAAAGGGGAAAAGACGCCUGUGACAUUUCCUGCUUCAAGGCUAACACAAUUUAACUGGCCUGGUAGCCCCUGCACUGUGUCUAUGGCCAAGGCACUUGCUGCUCUCCUUCAGGCAGAAAUAGGAAUUGUGCCAGACACAUGAGCAAGAGAGGAAGAGGAAGCCAGUCAUAAAGCAAUAGCCUUGGGAUAGGAAAUUUAAAAAACAGCAGCUGUUACUAUUGCCCUCUCUUAAUCUUUUUUCAGAUUUAAUAACAUAUUAUUGUUCUUUUAAGUCUUAUAUAAGCCAUUCUUGGUGAGCCUGUCGGCACAGAGAAUAAGACAGUGACACUUACAAAAGCGAAACCGGUGGUCCUUAAAGUGACCUCAGCUGCUUCUUGCCCUCAGGCUCCAAGGUUAUACUCACUUACUAAGGAAUAAAUCUCAUUGAAAUCAAUAGGGCUUACUUCUGAUUGCACCAUGACUCUUGUAGGAACUACAUGCCAAAGCGGAUAUUAAUAACUCAUGACAACACUUCGUCUCGGGUGGGUUAUUACAGUCUGCCAACCUUUGACUUCUUCCACGGAUGCCUUUGGAAAUGCUUUCCAUAUUCUUGGGAUUCUGUGAUAACACAUAUAUAUCCAAGGGGCUGAUAAGUUUUUUUUCCUUUCCCAUUUCCUCCCUUCCUUCUGGUCCAUUUGGUUCCCCACUUUUGUCACUGCAAUUCUUUGUUUGCACCCUUAUUUAUUUAUUUUAUUACAACAUUUAUAUCCCGCCCUUCUCACCCAACAGGGGACUCAGGGCGGCUUACAAUAAAACACACAUAUAAAACCUGUACAAUACACUAUAAAUCAGUUAAAAAAUUAACUUACAUAAAACAUUCAUAAAACGCAUUAUAAAAUACAGAUAGGCAUGUUCAAGUUUAAAAGACUGGGUCUGUCAAUUGAGUUCCAGCGUACAUAAUAGUAAUUAGUGCUGCUGAUUCUUAUUCGAAGGCCUGGCCACACAACCAAGUUUUAACCUUCCUACGGAAGGAUAGGACGGAGGGAGCCUGCCUGAUUUCAAUGGGGAGGGCGUUCCAUAGGCGUCCCUUAUGCCAUUAUCUUCUCUCUCAAGAUAGCAUGGUAAAACAGCCCCCUUUAGAUUAUAAUCCUAACUUUUAAAAUGCUGUUUUCUAGUACCUAAUGGCAUAUAAUGUAUUAACCUGUAAAACAAGAGUACAGUAAUUUUGUUCUUAAACAUCAUUGUCACAGGAUUUAAUACAUGUUUAAAAUAUAUACUUCAGUUUAGUUGCCUUAAAUUCAAUUCUAAAAGCAACUGUGAUGAUCCAGAUCUUCCAGUCGCUUCUCCCUUUUAAAUGCACACUUCUGCAUAAUCACUCGGUCCAUUUUAUAAUAUCUACAAUCACUAAAUGAGAAACAAGAUAUUAAAAUGAAAACUCUCAUCUGAUUCCACACCUAAAGUAUUAUUACUACUAUGUUUAUUUAUACUCUGCUUUUUCUCUCCACAGAGAAGAUUUAAAGUGUCUUACAUUAAAAACAUUUCAAUAUAAUUUAAAAUACACAAAUAUACUGUCAAGGACAGAACGCCACAAGAUCAAAGAUAACAGAGUUUAUUGGAUUUACAGAACUCAAAAUGCCCGUAAAAGACAAGGGCCAGGCAACAUUAGCCUCAAAAAGCAAAAAAGGGGCAAGAAAAACGUUCAAAAGAUAAACCGGAUUAAACCGGAGUUUAAUCCGGGUAAAAUCAAAACAGCUUGCUUCAGCUUGGGAACAAACAAAACAGAAGCUGGGAAACAAAGAGUUCAAAAGAAUGUAACUAAUUGGCAGCAGAUGCCUCUCUGCUGCCAGUACUAUGUUUUGAGUAACUUAGAAGUCACUCCUACACACAGCAGGCAAACUUCCAAUACAAACACAACAGCCGAGGAUUGAAGCAGUAGAGUAGUCCCAGUUCUUUCCGAAGGUCGAUAGGCAGAAGCAGACGUUUGCAGUUUUCCAAGUCCAGAAGGAGAAUCCAAGCCCGUAGUCAGUUCAGUCCGUAAAUCCAGAGUAGCAGAUGGCGUCCGUCAAGAAGACGACGGAAGGUCAAAGCUAUUGAGAUUAAGCAGAGGUUUGCACAAACAAAAGCCCACACAAUUCCUCCCGCCGUCUGAACCCAAAUUCCAAAACAACUUACGUAAUCAGCACACGAAACACACCCGUCUUCAGGAAAACGUCCCACACAGAUCCCAAGCGUUUGUCCAGAUUACCUUGCCCAACGCAAUUUGCUAUUGCUCCCAAGCCCCAUUUUAUGCCAGUUACAAGUCCUCAUCACUAUCAGCUGUUCUCCUUAACCCGGGCGUUUCCUCAUCACUUUCCUCAUCAGAACUGGAACACCUCUGACUACGCCCCACAGCAUCCCCAGCUGUGGAUCCCGUCCCAUCCCUCCAGCUUGUCCAUGGGUCUAGUCCUGAAGGUCCCCAAUCAUCUUCCAUCCCAUCAUUGCCAGUGGCACCCAAUUCCUCCCUUACCCGAGUCCAAUCCAUCUCAUCCUCUUCUGAGCUAACCAGCUCUUCCUCCAUUCUCUCCGUAAACCCCUCAAAAGACUCUUCGUCAGAUGGUUCUGCAAAGAUAUCUCGCAGCCUCUUUCUUUCUCGCUCCUCGAGAGUAUCUGACUCUCGAGGAGUCUUACGUCCACGUCUGCCAGUAGCAGAGCCAUGAGGCUCAAUCAUAACAUAUACAAACAUUAAAACAGAAUUAAAUAUCAAUGUUAUUAAAACAUAGUUAAAAUCCAUAAAAGCUUAUUAAAGAUAUAUUCAAAGAUGCUUGCUAUCAUUGAAAUGUCUGCUUUUAGUAAAGGAGGAAUAUAUCCACCCCUUUUGCUUAAUUCUUCCACUUCUACUCCCAAUCAAAAGCCUGAAAGGAAGCUGACUCAGCAAUGUGUAACAGGUAAGCAUUACUAUUCAACAUUAUUUAUUUAUUGCAUUUAUAUCCUGUCCUUCUCACCUCGAAGGGGACUCAGGGUGGCUCACAAGAAAGGCACUAUUCGAUGCCACAUAUACAUACAAAGGGUAAAAACAACACAUAUACAUUAAUAUCCAUAAUUAAAACAUCAUAAUCUUAAAAACAGUUACUUAAAAUCCAUGCAAUCCAAAGGCAUAUUCUAGGAGCCAUUCAAUCAUGAAUUGCACUGUCCCAUAGUAACUUAUUGCAUUGCAGAUUAUUGUUCAAAGGCAUGGCCCCACACCCAUGUCUUCACUUUCUUUCUGAAGGACAGGAAGGAGGGAGCUGAUCUAAUUUCACUGGGGAGAGAGUUCCACAGCCAAGGGGCCACCACUGAGAAGGCCCUGUCUCUCAUCCGCACCAGUUGCGCCUGCGAAGGAGAUGGGACUAAGAGCAGGGCAUCCCCAGAUGAUUUUAACCUCUUGGAUGGUUCAUAGAGGAAGAUACAUUUGGACAGAAUCAGAAUACUUCAAGAGAACUGUGAUGACUCAUGGGCCUUGUAGUCCUGUUCCUAGUACUAUUGUGGCAGACGAAGAGGAAAACAUGGGGUUUUCGCCGGUUCAGCAAGAGCCGGAGUCUCUUCACCUGCAGGAUGUUGAUGUUUGCCCUCAAGAAUUCAGCCAAACAGGCCUUGGGCAGAACUCCCCUCCGUUUCCCAGGAGGGAAAUUUAUUCUAAAGACAGGGGAGUCAGGGAGGCUAAUCGGAGAAGCCUGAGAAUCGCUGCCAAACAAAUGGCUGAUUAGGUCUGCUUCCCUUGGGAAAUUCUAAGGAGUCAUGCAUCUGGACAGAGUUGGGUUUCGCUUCUCGUUCUCUAGGGAAAGAGUUCUGUUGGCGGGAAAACGAGACCCAAUAUAGGUGUUUGGCGCGAGGGAUUCUUUGCGGAGUCAAUUGAUCAGCUUGAGGAGAGAGAUCGUGUGUGGACUUCGUAAUCCCAGUUCCUUGCUUCCCGGAUCAAGCUUCAAGCCUUGCCCUGUCUCACGGUUUUACCACGGACUCUGUUUCAUGCUUCAUGUUUGCCUUGUCUCCAGUCACGGAUCUAGCCAAGAAUCAAGUUUAUUUCCAGCCUUGUUGUCAAGCUUCAUUGGACUCUAAGACUCUGUUAUUUCCCCACACUAUUGCUUGGCAAAGUGUGUGUUUCGGUCAAGUGGAUUAAAACUUUGAACUCUAAUAUCUUAUAUUGGACAAUACAUUUCUGGACUAUAUUUGACCUCAUCUGAAAGGUCUGCUUCUGAACAAUAUUCUUCACUUGUUUUUAUUGAUUUUAUAUAUUUCUUUAAUAAAGAUAUUAGAUAGAGA
Long non-coding RNA from Anolis carolinensis (green anole), 5289 nucleotides. RefSeq lists it as uncharacterized. Lineage: Eukaryota; Metazoa; Chordata; Lepidosauria; Squamata; Anolidae. The transcript is spliced from 2 exons. The record is from RefSeq and is a predicted model, not a curated record.